RNAcentral lists this long non-coding RNA (399 nucleotides) under Rattus norvegicus (Norway rat). Its description in RNAcentral is "long non-coding RNA NONRATT015692". Lineage: Eukaryota; Metazoa; Chordata; Mammalia; Rodentia; Muridae. The record is from RNAcentral.
CACACUCUCGCUCAGCUCGUACGGGAGCAAGAGAAUGUUACUCUAUCCUAACCGAGUUUUCCUUUUUCUCUGUCUCAUAGAUAGGAAGAAUUGAAGAGCCAGAGAAAACGUCCCUUCUCUGAGGGGACAGCAGAGAUGGGGAGUGGCAUCAGUGCUGAGGACAAAGAACUUGCCAAGAGGUCCAGGGAGCUGGAAAAGAAGCUGCAGGAGGAUGCUGACAAGGAAGCCAAGACUGUCAAGCUGCUGCUGCUUGGUGCGGGAGAGUCAGGGAAGAGCACGAUCGUCAAACAAAUGAAGCAUUGACUAUGCUGAACCAAGCUGUGCGGUACGUGACUAAUGUUAUCUGGUUCUGGGUGGAAGCGGGAGAAGAAAUAGACCAGAGACCAGCAAACCACAAGG